GGCUCAGGAUGAACGCUAGCGGCAGGCUUAACACAUGCAAGUCGAGGGGCAUCGGGAGUAGCAAUACUGCCGGCGACCGGCGCAAGGGUGCGUAACGCGUGAGCAACAUGCCCGUAUCAGGGGGGAUAAUCCAUGGAAACGUGGUCUAAUACCCCAUAGUAAUUAUGUAAGGCAUCUUAUAUAAUUUAAAGCUUUGGUGGAUACGGAUUGGCUCGCGUGACAUUAGCUAGAUGGUAAGGUAACGGCUUACCAUGGCUACGAUGUCUAGGGGUUCUGAGAGGAAGGCCCCCCACACUGGAACUGAGACACGGUCCAGACUCCUACGGGAGGCAGCAGUGAGGAAUAUUGGACAAUGGAUGGAAAUCUGAUCCAGCCAUGCCGCGUGCAAGGAAGACGGCCCUAUGGGUUGUAAACUGCUUUUGUAUGGGAGCAAUAAGGGCUACGCGUAGUCCGAUGAGAGUACCAUACGAAUAAGCACCGGCUAACUCCGUGCCAGCAGCAGC
RNAcentral lists this ribosomal RNA (503 nucleotides) under uncultured bacterium. RNAcentral's name for it is "bacterial SSU rRNA". It matches the Rfam family "Bacterial small subunit ribosomal RNA", at positions 21 to 518 of the family's 1533-position model. The record is from RNAcentral.